Cydia fagiglandana is the source of this 72-nucleotide non-coding RNA. The record is from the annotation of a RefSeq genome assembly. Lineage: Eukaryota; Metazoa; Arthropoda; Insecta; Lepidoptera; Tortricidae.
GGCCCGGUGGCCGAGUGGUUUAGGCACCUGCCGCGAUAGCAGAGGACGCUGGUUCGAUUCCAGCCUGGGGCA